CAGAGGAUAGUUUAAAUAAAAUACUAAUUUUGGGGAUUAGAGAUCGGAUGAAUAUCCUCCCUCUGA
Molecule: transfer RNA, 66 nt
Filed under: Conocephalus gladiatus
Lineage: Eukaryota; Metazoa; Arthropoda; Insecta; Orthoptera; Tettigoniidae
Description: tRNA-Pro
Source: RNAcentral